CUUGCCUGCUGCCAUUUAAGAUGUGCCUUUCACCUUCCGCCAUGAUUGUGAGGCCUCCCCAGCCAUGUGGAACUGAAGCUUUUCAACAUCGUGAGGAUUGCAUAAUCAACUCUGAACAUCUGGAAUAGGAGCCUGACUGAACAGAGCAGAAGUGAACUUUCCCGGAGCUCCCAUACUCCAUCCACUCAACUCAACAAAUGUUGACUUAGUGCCUAUGAUGUACAGCACUCAGUGCUAAAAUGCAGUAGGGAAAUAAAUAAGUCUCUUU
This 268-nucleotide long non-coding RNA is filed under the name Homo sapiens (human). RNAcentral describes it as "LHRI_LNC1381.1". The record is from RNAcentral. Lineage: Eukaryota; Metazoa; Chordata; Mammalia; Primates; Hominidae.